UACGUAGGCAGCAAGCGUUGUUCGGAAUUACUGGGCGUAAAGAGUGUGUAGGCGGUGCUCUAAGUCUGUUGUGAAAUCUCCCGGCUUAACUGGGAGGGUGCGGCGGAAACUGGAGUGCUCGAGGGUGGGAGAGGAAAGCGGAAUUCCUGGUGUAGCGGUGAAAUGCGUAGAUAUCAGGAGGAACACCUGCGGUGUAGACAGCUUUCUGGACCACUUCUGACGCUGAGACACGAAAGCGUGGGUAGCAAACAGG
RNAcentral lists this ribosomal RNA (253 nucleotides) under uncultured bacterium. RNAcentral describes it as "partial 16S ribosomal RNA". It matches the Rfam family "Bacterial small subunit ribosomal RNA", at positions 524 to 776 of the family's 1533-position model. The record is from RNAcentral.